GAUCCUGGCUCAGAUUGAACGCUGGCGGCAGGCCUAACACAUGCAAGUCGAGCGGUAGAGAGAAGCUUGCUUCUCUUGAGAGCGGCGGACGGGUGAGUAAUGCCUAGGAAUCUGCCUAGUGGUGGGGGAUAACGUUCGGAAACGGACGCUAAUACCGCAUACGUCCUACGGGAGAAAGCGGGGGAUCUUCGGACCUCGCGCCAUUAGAUGAGCCUAGGUCGGAUUAGCUAGUUGGUGAGGUAAUGG
RNAcentral lists this ribosomal RNA (246 nucleotides) under uncultured bacterium. RNAcentral's name for it is "partial 16S ribosomal RNA". It matches the Rfam family "Bacterial small subunit ribosomal RNA", at positions 15 to 263 of the family's 1533-position model. The record is from RNAcentral.